This 253-nucleotide ribosomal RNA is filed under the name uncultured bacterium. RNAcentral's name for it is "partial 16S ribosomal RNA". It matches the Rfam family "Bacterial small subunit ribosomal RNA", at positions 524 to 776 of the family's 1533-position model. The record is from RNAcentral.
UACGUAGGGCGCAAGCGUUGUCCGGAAUUAUUGGGCGUAAAGAGCUCGUAGGCGGCCUGUUACGUCUGCUGUGAAAUCCCGGGGCUUAACCCCGGGCGUGCAGUGGAUACGGGCAGGCUGGAGGCAGGCAGGGGAGAACGGAAUUCCCGGUGUAGCGGUGAAAUGCGCAGAUAUCGGGAGGAACACCGGGGGCGAAGGCGGGGCUCUGGGCCGGUACUGACGCUGAGGAGCGAAAGCGUGGGGAGCGAACAGG